GAUGAACGCUGGCGGCGUGCCUAAUACAUGCAAGUCGAGCGAACAGACGAGGAGCUUGCUCCUCUGACGUUAGCGGCGGGCGGGUGAGUAACACGUGGAUAACCUACCUAUAAGACUGGGAUAACUUCGGGAAACCGGAGCUAAUACCGGAUAAUAUAUUGAACCGCAUGGUUCAAUAGUGAAAGACGGUUUUGCUGUCACUUAUAGAUGGAUCCGCGCCGCAUUAGCUAGUUGGUAAGGUAACGGCUUACCAAGGCAACGAUGCGUAGCCGACCUGAGAGGGUGAUCGGCCACACUGGAACUGAGGCACGGUCCAGACUCCUACGGGAGGCAGCAGUAGGGAAUCUUCCGCAAUGGGCGAAAGCUUGACGGAGCAACGCCGCGUGAGUGAUGAAGGUCUUCGGAUCGUAAAACUCUGUUAUUAGGGAAGAACAAAUGUGUAAGUAACUAUGCACGUCUUGACGGUACCUAAUCAGAAAGCCACGGCUAACUACGUG
RNAcentral lists this ribosomal RNA (497 nucleotides) under uncultured bacterium. Its description in RNAcentral is "partial 16S ribosomal RNA". It matches the Rfam family "Bacterial small subunit ribosomal RNA", at positions 28 to 507 of the family's 1533-position model. The record is from RNAcentral.